This 253-nucleotide ribosomal RNA is filed under the name uncultured bacterium. RNAcentral's name for it is "partial 16S ribosomal RNA". It matches the Rfam family "Bacterial small subunit ribosomal RNA", at positions 524 to 776 of the family's 1533-position model. The record is from RNAcentral.
UACCGAGGUCCCGAGCGUUGUCCGGAAUUACUGGGCGUAAAGAGCUCGUAGGUGGUUUGUCGCGUUGUUCGUGAAAACUCACAACUCAAUUGUGGGCGUGCGGGCGAUACGGGCAGACUGGAGUACUGCAGGGGAGACUGGAAUUCCUGGUGUAGCGGUGGAAUGCGCAGAUAUCAGGAGGAACACCGGUGGCGAAGGCGGGUCUCUGGGCAGUAACUGACGCUGAGGAGCGAAAGCGUGGGGAGCGAACAGG